CUUGCUUUGGCAACAUGUAUGAACACUGAAAAAACACGGAGAAGAUUAGCAUGGCCCCUCUGCAAGGUUCACAUGCAAAUUCAUGAAACAUUCCAAAUAUAU
Molecule: small nuclear RNA, 102 nt
Organism: Callithrix jacchus (white-tufted-ear marmoset)
Lineage: Eukaryota; Metazoa; Chordata; Mammalia; Primates; Cebidae
Source: Ensembl